RNAcentral lists this ribosomal RNA (1449 nucleotides) under uncultured Bordetella sp. RNAcentral's name for it is "partial 16S-23S ribosomal RNA intergenic spacer". It matches the Rfam family "Bacterial small subunit ribosomal RNA". The record is from RNAcentral. Lineage: Bacteria; Pseudomonadati; Pseudomonadota; Betaproteobacteria; Burkholderiales; Alcaligenaceae.
GGUUCGAUCAUGGCUCAGAUUGAACGCUGGCGGGAUGCUUUACACAUGCAAGUCGAACGGCGGCACGGACUUCGGUCUGGUGGCGAGUGGCGAACGGGUGAAGUAAUGUAUCGGAACGUGCCUAGUAGCGGGGGAUAACUACGCGAAAGCGUAUGUACCGCAUACGCCCUUCAGGGGAAAGCGGGGACCUUCGGGCCUCGCACUAUUGCGGCGGCCGAUAUCGGAUUAGCUGAGUUGUUGGGGUAACGGCUCACCAAGGCGACGAUCCGUAGCUGAACUGAGAGGACGACCAGCCACACUGUGGACCGAACACGGCCCAGACUCCUACAGGCAGCAGUGGGGAAUUUUGAAUGUCGGGGAAACCCUGAUCCAGCCGUCCGCGUGUGCGAUGAAGGCCCUUCCGGGUUGUAAAGCACUUUUGGCGGGAAAGAAACGGCCUGGGGAUAAUACCCCGUGCAACCUGACCAGUACCUGCAGAAUAAGCACCGACUAACUACGUGCCAGCAGCCGCAGUAAUACGUAGAGAUUGCAAGCGUUAAUCGGAAUUACUGGGCGUAAAGCGUGCGCAGAUGGUUCGGAAAAGAUGUGAAAAUCUAUGACUUAACUUUGGAGCUACAUUUUUAACUACCGAGCUAGAGUGUCAGAGGAGGUAAUUCCCAUGUAGUGAAAUGCGUAGAUAUGCGGAGGAACACCGAUGGCGAAGGCAGCCUCCUGGGAUAACACUGACGCUCAUGCACGAAAGCGUGGGAGCAAACGGGAUUAAAUACCCUGGUAGUCCCACGCCCUAAACGUCAACUGGCUGUUGGGGCCUUCGGGCCUUGGUGGCCGCAACUAACGUGAAGUUGACCGCCUGGGAAGCCCGGUCGCAAGAUUAAAACUCAAGAUAUUGACGGGGACCCGCACAAGCGUGUGGAUUAAGGUAGAGCGCAACGCGAAAAACCUUACCUACCCUUGACAUGUCUGGAAUCCCGAAGAGAUUUGGGAGUGCUCGCAAGAGAACGGAACACAGGUGCUGCAUGGCUGUCGUCAGCUCGUGUCGUGAGAUGUUGGGUUAAGUCCCGCAACGAGCGCAACCCUUGUCAUUAGUUGCUACGAAGGGCAUAAUGAGACUGCCGGUGACAAACCGGAGGAAGGUGGGGAUGACGUCAGUCCUCAUAUUUAUGGGUAGGGCUUACACGUCAUACAAUGGUCGGGACGGGGGUCGCCAACCCGCCAGGGGAGCCAAUCCCAGAAACCUGAUCGUAGUCCGGAUCGCAGUCUGCAACUCGACUGCGUGAAGUCGGAAUCGCUAGUAAUCGCGGAUCAGCAUGUCGCGGUGAAUACGUUCCCGGGUCUUGUACACCGCCCGUCACACCAUGGGAUGGGUUUUACCAGAAGUAGUUAGCCUAACCCAUAAGGAGGGCGAUUACGACGAGACCGCUGACUGGGGUGAAGUCGUAACAAAGGUAG